RNAcentral lists this ribosomal RNA (623 nucleotides) under uncultured Actinomycetes bacterium. Its description in RNAcentral is "bacterial SSU rRNA". It matches the Rfam family "Bacterial small subunit ribosomal RNA", at positions 556 to 1177 of the family's 1533-position model. Lineage: Bacteria; Bacillati; Actinomycetota; Actinomycetes. The record is from RNAcentral.
GGGCGUAAAGAGCUCGUAGGCGGUUAGUCACGUCGGAUGUGAAAACUCAGAGCUUAACUCUGAGCCUGCAUUCGAUACGGGCUGACUAGAGUGUUGUAGGGGAGACUGGAACUCCUGGUGUAGCGGUGAAAUGCGCAGAUAUCAGGAAGAACACCGGUGGCGAAGGCGGGUCUCUGGGCAACUACUGACGCUGAGGAGCGAAAGCGUGGGGAGCAAACAGGACUAGAUACCCUGGUAGUCCACCCCGUAAACGUUGGGAACUAGUUGUGGGGUCCAUUCCACGGAUUCCGUGACGCAGCUAACGCAUUAAGUUCCCCGCCUGGGGGGUACGGCCGCAAGGCUAAAACUCAAAGGAAUUGACGGGGACCCGCACAAGCGGCGGAGCAUGCGGAUUAAUUCGAUGCAACGCGAAGAACCUUACCAAGGCUUGACAUAUACGAGAACGGGCCAGAAAUGGUCAACUCUUUGGACACUCGUAAACAGGUGGUGCAUGGUUGUCGUCAGCUCGUGUCGUGAGAUGUUGGGUUAAGUCCCGCAACGAGCGCAACCCUCGUUCUAUGUUGCCAGCACGUAAUGGUGGGAACUCAUGGGAUACUGCCGGGGUCAACUCGGAGGAAGGUAAU